CAAUAGCGUAUAUUAAAGUUGUUGCAGUUAAAAAGCUCGUAGUUGGAUUUCUGGUAGGAGUGUCCGUUCCGAACUUGAUUGUUCGUGUAUUGUGUUUUCUCCAGCCAUCCUUGUGGAGAACUUUUCUUGCAUUAAUUUGUAGGGAUUGGGACCCGCAUCGUUUACUGUGAAAAAAUUAGAGUGUUUAAAGCAGGCAAUCGCUUGAAUACAUUAGCAUGGAAUAAUAAGAUAGGACUUUGGUACUAUUUUGUUGGUUUGCAUACCAAAUUAAUGAUCAACAGGAACAGUUUGAGGAUAUUCGUAUGAACAUGUCAGAGGUGAAAUUCUUGGAUUUUGAUCAGACGAACUACUGCGAAAGCAUUUAUCAAGGAUGUUUUCAUUAA
RNAcentral lists this ribosomal RNA (383 nucleotides) under uncultured eukaryote. Its description in RNAcentral is "partial 18S ribosomal RNA". It matches the Rfam family "Eukaryotic small subunit ribosomal RNA", at positions 592 to 976 of the family's 1831-position model. The record is from RNAcentral.